AUACGUAGGUGGCAAGCGUUGUCCGGAAUUACUGGGUGUAAAGGGAGCGUAGGCGGGCAGGCAAGUCAGGCGUGAAAGAUAUCGGCUCAACCGGUAGCUGCGCUUGAAACUGCAGGUCUUGAGUGAAGUAGAGGUUGGCGGAAUUCCUAGUGUAGCGGUGAAAUGCGUAGAUAUUAGGAGGAACACCAGUGGCGAAGGCGGCCAACUGGGUCUUUUACUGACGCUGAGGCUCGAAAGUGUGGGGAGC
RNAcentral lists this ribosomal RNA (247 nucleotides) under uncultured bacterium. RNAcentral describes it as "partial 16S ribosomal RNA". It matches the Rfam family "Bacterial small subunit ribosomal RNA", at positions 523 to 769 of the family's 1533-position model. The record is from RNAcentral.